Schistosoma mansoni is the source of this 46-nucleotide non-coding RNA. Lineage: Eukaryota; Metazoa; Platyhelminthes; Trematoda; Strigeidida; Schistosomatidae. The record is from Rfam.
GCACUACUGAGGAGUCCCACAAUAGGACGAAACGGCCGUCCAGUGU